Molecule: ribosomal RNA, 372 nt
Filed under: uncultured organism
Description: partial 16S ribosomal RNA
Rfam family: Bacterial small subunit ribosomal RNA
Source: RNAcentral
GUAGGUGGCAAGCGUUGUCCGGAAUUAUUGGGCGUAAAGCGCGCGCAGGCGGUUCUUUAAGUCUGAUGUGAAAGCCCACGGCUCAACCGUGGAGGGUCAUUGGAAACUGGAGAACUUGAGUACAGAAGAGGAAAGCGGAAUUCCACGUGUAGCGGUGAAAUGCGUAGAGAUGUGGAGGAACACCAGUGGCGAAGGCGGCUUUCUGGUCUGUAACUGACGCUGAGGCGCGAAAGCGUGGGGAGCAAACAGGAUUAGAUACCCUGGUAGUCCACGCCGUAAACGAUGAGUGCUAAGUGUUAGGGGGUUUCCGCCCCCCUUAGUGCUGCAGCUAACGCAUUAAGAACUCCGCCUGGGAGUACGGCCGCAAGGCUG